This 84-nucleotide small nucleolar RNA is filed under the name Brassica napus (rape). RNAcentral's name for it is "Plant small nucleolar RNA R71". It matches the Rfam family "Plant small nucleolar RNA R71", at positions 1 to 84 of the family's 107-position model. From Rfam's summary of the family: R71 is a member of the C/D box family of snoRNAs containing the C (UGAUGA) and D (CUGA) box motifs. Multiple nearly identical copies of this snoRNA have been identified in Arabidopsis, and it is thought to function as a 2'-O-ribose methylation guide for 18S ribosomal RNA. Lineage: Eukaryota; Viridiplantae; Streptophyta; Magnoliopsida; Brassicales; Brassicaceae. The record is from Rfam by way of RNAcentral.
AAACCAUGGUGUGGGCAUUGAUCUUGGUAGCCCUUGAAUCUCUCCCACGCUUCACUGAAGCCUUCUAAGUUCUUCUGUUGAAAG